This is a non-coding RNA of Acanthosepion pharaonis, 112 nucleotides long. NCBI's taxonomy places the organism in Eukaryota, Metazoa, Mollusca, Cephalopoda, Sepiida, Sepiidae. The record is from the annotation of a GenBank genome assembly.
UUACGGUCGUAUCACAUUAAAACAGCGGUUCUCGUUCAAUCACCGAAGUUAAACAACGUGGAUCCUGGUCAGUACAUAGAUGGGUAACCAAUUAGGAAUACCAGGUGCUGCG